CCCUGGCUCAGAACGAACGCUGGCGGCAGGCUUAACACAUGCAAGUCGAGCGCCCCGCAAGGGGAGCGGCAGACGGGUGAGUAACGCGUGGGAAUCUACCCAACUCUACGGAAUAACUCAGGGAAACUUGUGCUAAUACCGUAUACGCCCUUCGGGGGAAAGAUUUAUCGGAGUUGGAUGAGCCCGCGUUGGAUUAGCUAGUUGGUGGGGUAAAGGCCUACCAAGGCGACGAUCCAUAGCUGGUCUGAGAGGAUGAUCAGCCACAUUGGGACUGAGACACGGCCCAAACUCCUACGGGAGGCAGCAGUGGGGAAUAUUGGACAAUGGGCGCAAGCCUGAUCCAGCCAUGCCGCGUGUGUGAUGAAGGCCUUAGGGUUGUAAAGCACUUUCACCGGAGAAGAUAAUGACGGUAUCCGGAGAAGAAGCCCCGGC
This 432-nucleotide ribosomal RNA is filed under the name Rhizobium sp. CL4.24. Its description in RNAcentral is "bacterial SSU rRNA". It matches the Rfam family "Bacterial small subunit ribosomal RNA", at positions 17 to 497 of the family's 1533-position model. The record is from RNAcentral. RNAcentral also lists the same sequence under 1 other name. Lineage: Bacteria; Pseudomonadati; Pseudomonadota; Alphaproteobacteria; Hyphomicrobiales; Rhizobiaceae.